Long non-coding RNA from Passer domesticus (house sparrow), 3381 nucleotides. RefSeq lists it as uncharacterized. NCBI's taxonomy places the organism in Eukaryota, Metazoa, Chordata, Aves, Passeriformes, Passeridae. The record is from RefSeq and is a predicted model, not a curated record. The transcript is spliced from 3 exons.
CUGUAUGAGGAUUCACAGUCAGAGCAGUAAAUUAGCUUUUUAAUUGUGGCAUGUGGUAGGACUACAUAAAAACGAAAAACCCCUGAAAUAAGUCUCUCUUUUUCAACAUCUGAAUGCAGAAGCACUCCAAAGGUGCAGCAAAAGACCAUUGCUCUGUGCAGUGGAACAUCACAACCAACAACACUGAGCUUUGUCUGGGUUCUUGGAGCCAGGGAGCUUGGAUGUAAAACCAGAAAAACAGAGGAGAAUCUCCAAAAGCUGCGGAAAAUUAUCAAGUAGAAGAAAAUUACACCACUCAAAAAAUAUGAAGGUAAUGUUCCAGCAGUGGUUUGGACUGGUGUAACUCAAAAGCACUUCAGAAAACAAUAUUAGAGGGCACAACAAAUCCAGCGUGCUUAUGCUUACACAGGUAUUUGCUGGGAACUAUCUCUGAAUGCAAGUAAAGCUCUCAUCAUUUAUUGUUUGCUCUUCACAGCCUCCUGUACUCAAACCUGGCACAAAAGGAUGCUCAGGGAAAUAGCUGCUGAGUAAUUUCAAGCCAGUAUCAAACCUUUCCUCAGCUAUUCAAAAGCACACAGUGAGAGAGGACUCUGUGACCUGCUACUUUUUGAGGAAGAUGGAAAAAUGUCAAUAUAGGUUUUAAGACUGAGAGGUGUGCUAUCACAGCCUGUGGACACACCACUGUAUGUGACCAUGUGAACAACUCCUCACUCUUCUUCUCCCUUCCUUACACUCUGUGACAGAAGCCUGCAGUUUCCACUAGGCAAGGAAAAAGUAUUUGCAUGUGCCAGGAGAAAUUCUACAUCCACGCCCAUGAUGCCUUUUCUGGACUAUUUGAGGAUAUAACAUUGACAACAACUCAACUGACUUGCUGUAAUUAAUAAUCAAAAAGUACAUUUCAGCAUCAUAAAGCAGAUGAUACCAUUCUUCUAAAAAGCACUAUAAAUUAAAAUUAUGUUUAACAAUUCUUCAGCAACACUGACAACAAUUAGAUUUCCAUAAAGUAAAGGUAGAAAAAUUACCAAUAGCGAAUUAUCCUAUGAGAAGAGCAGCUUGUUGGACAAAGUACCAAAGGAAAGUAAUACUCGGAUAAAAUCUUGAUCCAGUUGUUUACACUGAUAAUUACGAAUUAAAAUUUGCUUUAUAUACACUGUGAUAGGUAGGGACCUCAAGAAAAGGGACAAGCCAUGGCAGGCAAGACAGAGCAAAUGGAUGGUUCCUACCCCCACAUUUCCAGAACUGUUUCAGAAAGCUGUUAGUAUUCCCAGCCAUCCCAGACUAACACUCUUCCUGGCCUAUUGUCCAAGGUGAUCCAAAACCUGAGCUGAUUUCUCAUAAUACACCACUCUGCAGGAGGUCAGGUAUUGAUAUCACAAGCCUAUCAAAGAGGACACACCAAGGCACCUCAGAACAACAGGACAGAUUACAGUGGCAGCAAACAGCUUCAGUUAUCCGACUUUUCCAACCAGCAGCAAAAGCUUGCCAAAAUAUUAAGAAGAUGAACACAAGGACAGAACUAGGUAUUGAACACUCUGAAAGAUAAAUGCCUUAAAAUAAUAAGUGUUAACACCACCAAGCUUUUCAUAAGCCUGUUUCAUAGUGGUACCACAGAAAGGAAAGUUGCAGCUUCUUGAAAACACAACCACCAAGGUGGGCCAGAUUUUGUUUCCCUUUAAGCCAGUGAUACACCCUGCUCUGACACAGAGCAGUAACAAACACAGCCAUGCCAGCCCCACAGCCAGAACACAACCCAGAAUCUGUGAAACUGGAGCUUCUCCCUGUGAGCAGCACCAGGCACACACACUGUGGGACGCUCACUGUGCUCACCUUCCUCCCACAUUGCCAAUGUUUUUAGGGAAGUUGGCCAGGGAGCUGGGCUGGAGUGUUACCUGCAUCAUACUGCUGUUCUCCAUUCAUCUCCACAGGAGCCCAGGGGCUGUUCCCAGCAGCCAGAAGCAGGGGGGUCCGAGGCUGUCACUGUUUGGUGGUCAUGAGUCGCCUCCCGCCUUCCACAGCAGCCGGGACAUUCAGGAGGGGAUCCUGGAAAACACCUGAAAGGAACAACUGCUUCACAGGAAUGUGUCUGGAAUGGAACCCAGCUGCCAAUUUCUGCUAUAUGCCUCUAACCUGCUCCACUCCAGCUCAGAAAUCUGUGCUCAGCAUGUAACUACAAGGUCACACGUUAACUCCCAACCCAGCUCUGCCUCUGUGAGAAAGGCACUGAGAAAUUAAGCACAGGCUCCACUCUCACUCUCCACUGGCUGCUCACAGUUGUUCCAGGCUCAGAGGACAGGGCAGAGCAGGGUUAGGUAACUCAAGCACAUGUUCCCAGACUGUCCUCUCCCUACACAGACUGAGCUUCCAUCUAUUCCAUCUUUUAUAAAGUGAUGCUGGAAGAGGCUGUCACUGGCACGAUGCUCAGCACACAGAGAAAAACUAACCAACAAAACAUUUUUUAAUCAUUAAUCAAAACAUGUCUUGGUAAUGGCCUAUCCCAAGUCUAUCAGCUGUCAAAGUGCUAAGCCAAAACAAAGGCAAUGCUGUGAGCAAAGCACAUAUUCCACAAGUCUGAGGAUAUGCCACUGCUUUAGAAUAGUGUAGCCCUGGCAAAGCAUACUCAGAAUUAAUUGCAAUUAAGCUAUUUUCAGUUUAUGGGAUGCAGUUCUCAAUUAGCUUCUAUAACUAAACUAUGUGACGCAACUACACUCUUUUUUCCCCUUUAUGCAACAUGAGAAUAUUUAGGACAUUACCCUCCCCACCAAAACCCCAAAACAAACCCACAAAACCAAACCCCAAGCACCAAAGAGGCUGUUGAUUUAGAAGAUGCCAAACACUGGCAGCUCCUGUUGAAGCUGAUUGAUAUUCUGCCCAAGUCAAGUUGGGUUGUUAUUCAGGAUUUCAUAAGCAGUUGUGGUGUUGUAUGUACACAAAAUUGAGAGCACUUGUAAUUAGCACCCACCAUGGCUGCUGCUUACAGUCUGGCACCCCAAAGAUUAUCUUUUGAUAAAUCUCGAGGGAAGUGGAGCACAAGUGCUGCUGGAACAGAGCUGCUUUGGAAAUACUUUGGACUCUUCAGUCUCACUUCUGCAUUUCAAAUCUCCUUUCAGCACAUGAAAUAUUCAGAUGUUAGCAACUGGAGGCAGCAUUAAAAACAGUUACAGUUCAUUAAAGCCAGAUGGCUCACUUGAAUAUGAAAAGAAAUCAAACAUAAGUUGGCUGUUGAAUUAAAGUAAAUCAGCUGGUGUCUGAGGCUUAAUAUCAUUUUAAAACAAAGGCGCACGAGACAAUGGGGACAGGAGCCACCCCUCAGGACCGAGCUCCGGCAAGGAUCGGGUUUCAGCGAAUUCCUCCAUGCCCAGGCACCCAGUAAAAUCUAUUUCA